GUGUUAUAUAGAGAUGUUAUAUUCAUGUUAUAUUAUAUAUAUUAUAACAUGAAUAUAACAUAUAUAUUUAAAAUGUUUCCUCUUUUCGUCGUUGGCAUCCUUGCGUUCUUUUCAGUUCUUGCUGGUUCUUUCAUCGUGUCAGCGUGUUGUUGCGUGGUAUGGAAGUGCUCUCCUUAUCCAAGAUGCUUCAGAACACUUUCCAUCUCUUUCCUUCUUUCAAAUAAAAAGAAAGGAGAAAAAUAUUUUGAAGUAUUUGGAGCAUCAACGGGAUUGCAGUCAAUAUUAUAUUACUGGAGCUACAGAUGCGAACGCGUGAGCUGCAAAUACUAUAUCACAGCCUGUUGCAGAAAAUUUCCUUAACAGUGGCACGUUGUGAAAAAAAACAGUCACGGACAAGGAGGUGAUGCAGGAGAAGGCAGAGAUAUAUUUCUAAGUAUCGCUUAGAUAAAGUUGUGGCUAAAAUAAUGCAUAAUUAUAUCGCUCACUGAUAAAUAAUAGAGGUUGACCGGAAAGUCUAUGCAGAUUUUUUAGCAAAAUUUUAUAUAAAAAAUUAAUACGAAGUUUUGCGUUCGAAUUUUGUCAGAAAAGUUCACACGGAUCUUCUGCUGAAAAAAACUUUUUAGUAAGAAUUCAAAGUUUUGCGUUCGAAUUUUGGUAAAAGAAUCUGUGCAGACUUUCCGGUCAACUCAAUAUACAUUAUACCUCAAAUAUGUGGAAUUGUAAUCUUUAGUAUAGUAACCGAUAUUUUUUUGAUGAUUCUUUUGAGCGAUAUUUUGAAAUAUGUGAGAUAUAAUUGUUUAUCAUGUUAUUAUUCAUCGUCUCUCUAAAGCAGGUUUUACUUUUUAAGUGAAUAAAAUACAUGUAUGUACUCAUGAUGUUCCGUAUGCAUACGGGAACAAUCCCGGACAGAUGGCAAUCUCGGCCAGUUGGCAAUCCCGGCCAUCACAAUAUCUAUAAAACUAUAACAGUUAUCCGUGUUUGAACAAGUGAGCGACGUGUGUUAACAUCUCCUUUUCCUUCUCCGUAUUCGACUAUUCAAUAUUCGGAACGCCUUCGCUAGUGAUAGAGGUUUGUUUGUUUGGCCAAACGCUGAUCUAAUAUUAUACGAUCGCAACAUAAGAGAUAAAUGUUGCUAAUUUGGAUUUAAAUAUUGUAUUUAUGAUUGUAUGUUUAAGUUAUGUACCAAGCCCUAACGUAGUAAAGUAAUUUCGUUGUUGUCGUUUGUAAAUGUCCUUAAUUAUUAAAAAAUAUUUGUUUUUUUAUUGAAAGACAUUUGCGGUAUAAUCGGGAAAAGGGGAAAGGGAAGAAGAAAGGUAGAAAAACGACAGAAGCGGUAAAGAAAUGUACAAGGAAGGUUUUGCUAGAUAAAAUUGACACGUCUUCAGAAUCUAAUUUCGAUUUAAUUGAUGACAUGGAAAAUCCCAGGAACCGUUGUAUACUUUGCAGUGAAUUUGGAAAAACAAUGAGCUAUGGUACAGAUGUACUUUAUAUGGAUUGUGGGCCUAUCAACAAUGUACAGGGUGGGACACAUCAGAUGGUUAUACGUGCGAAAGCUGCAAGGAGUAUCGCUAGCCGGUAUUGUCUUCAUCCUUGGCCGGAAUUGUCAUCACUUGUCGGCAAUGCUGAUCAAAUCUCUUUUUUUUCAAUAAUGUAUAAACCCAAGAAAAUAUAAAUCAAAGAGUUUAUUUUGUUUUGAAUUAUAUUACAGUACGUAGUUGCAAAUACAGUAUGUAGUUGCAAAAAGAUUUCGGUCCGACCAACAGACUAAGCCAGAGACAGUUGAAACAUUUGAAUUUAAUCUUAGAUUUACUCUGGCAUACAAUUUCUUGUUAACAUAAUAAAGUUGUGAUGAUUAUGUUUUCUUUUAAAGCCUGUAAGACUUAAGUGGCCGGCAUUACCCCCUUUUCCCCUACGUUUUAUAUUUGUUAACUAACAUUCCACAUAAUCUGUCAACUAAUAUUCCACAUAUCUUUCAUUUCUACAUAUCAACUAGAUAUCUUUAAUAUAAGAUGUAAACGAUCAUUUUUUGACGCAUUUCAAUUUUGCAAUAUAAAAUACAUGUAAUAAUAAAGUUUAAAAAAUAAAAU
RNAcentral lists this long non-coding RNA (2087 nucleotides) under Ooceraea biroi (clonal raider ant). Its description in RNAcentral is "uncharacterized LOC113562220". Lineage: Eukaryota; Metazoa; Arthropoda; Insecta; Hymenoptera; Formicidae. The record is from RNAcentral.